This 480-nucleotide ribosomal RNA is filed under the name uncultured bacterium. Its description in RNAcentral is "partial 16S ribosomal RNA". It matches the Rfam family "Bacterial small subunit ribosomal RNA", at positions 28 to 523 of the family's 1533-position model. The record is from RNAcentral.
GACGAACGCUGGCGGCGUGCUUAACACAUGCAAGUCGAACGGAAAGGCCCCUUCGGGGGUGCUCGAGUGGCGAACGGGUGAGUAACACGUGGGUGAUCUGCCCUGCACUUUGGGAUAAGCCUGGGAAACUGGGUCUAAUACCGGAUAGGACUCCGAGAUGCAUGUCUUGGGGUGGAAAGCUUUUGCGGAGUGGGAUGGGCCCGCGGCCUAUCAGCUUGUUGGUGGGGUGAUGGCCUACCAAGGCGACGACGGGUAGCCGGCCUGAGAGGGUGUCCGGCCACACUGGGACUGAGAUACGGCCCAGACUCCUACGGGAGGCAGCAGUGGGGAAUAUUGCACAAUGGGCGCAAGCCUGAUGCAGCGACGCCGCGUGAGGGAUGACGGCCUUCGGGUUGUAAACCUCUUUCACUAGGGACGAAGCGCGAGUGACGGUACCUAGAGAAGAAGCACCGGCCAACUACGUGCCAGCCGCCGCCGUAA